This 381-nucleotide unclassified non-coding RNA is filed under the name uncultured bacterium. RNAcentral describes it as "contains 16S-23S intergenic spacer region". The record is from RNAcentral.
UCCGGUUUGGCACCGGCAGUCCCCCGAGAGUCCUCAGCGCUUUGCAGCCUGUUAGCAACACGGGGCGGGGGUUGCGCUCGUUGCGGGACUUAACCCAACAUCUCACGACACGAGCUGACGACAGCCAUGCAGCACCUGUGCACGGGCUCCGAAGAGGGCUCCGUGUUUCCAAAGAGUUUCCCGUGCAUGUCAAGCCUAGGUAAGGUUCUGCGCGUUGCGUCGAAUUAAACCACAUGCUCCACCGCUUGUGCGGGCCCCCGUCAAUUCCUUUGAGUUUCACCGUUGCCGGCGUACUCCCCAGGUGGAUUACUUAUCGCUUUCGCUAAGCCGCGUACUGUUUAUCGCACACAGCGAGUAAUCAACGUUUACAGUGUGGACUAC